RNAcentral lists this transfer RNA (74 nucleotides) under Marmota monax (woodchuck). RNAcentral describes it as "tRNA.Ala". Lineage: Eukaryota; Metazoa; Chordata; Mammalia; Rodentia; Sciuridae. The record is from RNAcentral.
CUGGGACUGUAGCUCGGUGGUAAAGCCCUUGCCUAGCAUUCGUGAGGCCCUGGGUUUGAUCUCCAGGUCCCAGA